Long non-coding RNA from Macaca fascicularis (crab-eating macaque), 2305 nucleotides. NCBI's taxonomy places the organism in Eukaryota, Metazoa, Chordata, Mammalia, Primates, Cercopithecidae. The record is from Ensembl.
GAAGUGAAACCCUUUUUAUUAUAAAAAUGGGAAGAAUGGCAUUUUAUUACAGUAUAGUUAAGAGAUUGGCUAAGGCAGUAAAUAAAACUUAGAAAUGCUCAAAUUUGUUGUAAAUUGCUUUUACAAUCAUUGAUAUAUAAAGCAUGCUACUACUAAUCAAUUAGUUUUAUGUAUUAAGACCUAUCAGCAUGUCUUUUUUUAGUAUCUGGUUGACUUUAACAUGAUGUUCUCUGUACCAUUUAACAUUUUCAAGACAUACUCUCCCCAAGCAAAUUCUGUUGGAACCAGGUGUUUCCAGUUCUAGAAGUUUACUUCUAGAGUCUUCAUAUGAAAUUUACAGUGGGCUUUCAUAGGGUUUUAAUUUGCACUGAACCUUUUUUUCUGAAAGAUUACUUAUGUUUAAAGUAUUAAUGUAGCAGUGCUUUUGUCUUACAAUUAAACUCUUACAGCACUCAUGCAUUUUUUGCACUGUCUUUUUUUUUUGACUUAAGUUUUUUUCUCUUGAAUGAAUACCUUUAACAGGACUUAUUAGUUGAAAAGGUAAGGCAACUACUGGAAUGUUAACACAUCACAUAAAAUUUUUAAAUGAUGGGAUUGUUUGAAAAGUUAGCUUAUGCACAAAUAGUAUUACAAGUGGAUCACUGAAUUUGAUGGAAGAAAAGUGGCCAUUUCCAGUUUUCUCCAGAAUGUUUAUAAGACAGGAUAUUGAGGGCAGGAAGAUUUUGUGGGGAUGUUCAAUCUUAGUAACCUGCUGGGCUUGCUAUCAAAUGUGAGACCACUACAAGUGCUGGUAGGCAUUUACCAUUUUAUGUUACAAUGUUUUUGAAAAAUGCUAAAUUGAAUUUGAUGGCUAAGAGCAAUAAUGUUAACAAAAUUACUCAUUAUAAAUGCACUAUUGUUUAACUGUUCCAAUUUUUACUUUUGUGUCUCGAGAACUUUUAAAGGAAUGCAGGUCACUUAGUGCUGGUCUAUGAAGAGAGAAGUCACCAUUAUGUUGGGUCAUGGUGUGGUGCUAAGCAGGUCUGCUCCUCAACAAAUGGCCUCUUUGUCUGUAACCAGCUUGUGAUUUGCCUUUUUGUUCUAAAAAAUCAGAGGCCGGCCGGGCGCGAUGGCUCACGCCCAUAAUCCCAGCACUUAGGGAGGCUGAGGUGGGUGGAUCACCUGAGGUCAGUAGUUAUAGACCAGCCUGGCCAAUAUGGUGAAACCCCAUCUCAACUAAAAAAAAAGGUUAGCCAGGUGUGGUGGCAGGCACCUGUAAUUCCAGCUACUCGGGCCGAGGCAGGAGAAUCACUUGAACCCGGGAGGCGGAGAUUGCAGUGAGCCGAGAUCGCGCCAUCACACUCAGCCUGGGGGACAAGAGCGAGACUUCGUUUUAAAACAAAAACAAAAGCAGAAGCCAGAAUUAAAUAAUGGUUUUUGUUAUUUUAGGUUCUGCCAUGAUUCUAUAAUAAGAUUCUCUGAGAGGCCUUGAUCCUAUAGUAGGAUAAUAUAAACUUUCAAAACAAUUUAAAAUAAUCCUUUUCAGACUUACUAAAAUGUGUGGGGCAUUCUAUUUAGCAGAUUUUCCAAAGUUUCUAGUUUAAUACAUUCAGUGGAAUAGAUUAUUUGAAAUGAAUGCUUUUGUGGCCCAGCUCUGUCAUUUGCCCAGUGAUAGUGGGUAAAUUAACUGUCUCUAAGCCUCAGUUUUUCCAAGUGUAAAGUUGUAUUACCUUUCUCAGGUAUGGACAUUAAAUGAUAGUCAUGUAAAAGUGCUUGCAGUUAGCGGUUCUCGGCCUCAUUGUGAGGUUAAACACACACUUUGAGGGCCCAUCUCAGGCUUAUACAGAAUCUUCAGGGGGUGGAGCCGAGGAACAUGUAUUAUUAAGAUCAUUAGGUGACUCUUAUGCUGAGGAUUGAAAACCAAAGUUUCACACUUGUUGAUAUUACCAUGUUUAAGAGCUGUGGAAAUCAUGCAUAUAAAAAUACCAAAUGUUAGUACUUACAUGUGCUGGGCAGACUGAAUACAAAGAGGAGUGUGAUGUGGCCAGGCUUGUGGGGAGUAGAGACAGCCAUCAACCAUGAUAGGAGUGCCCUUUCUCGAAGUUUGCCUUGGCACCCUGAGGGGACUCCCUACUUUUGCUUCUGCAGCUCUUCUGGACUUCCCUGACUUCAGGAGAUUUGACAUAGAAGCCCUGUGAUUUUGGUGACUAAUUAGGAAAGAGAAGAUGAGCAGAAGGGAGGAGUCAAGGUAGGCUAACAUAGUUUGUAGAUUACAGGAUAGCUGUGAUCCCAUUUAUUGAGAUUGGAAAUCAAGUCAAAUAAGCAG